UGCAGUCGAGCGGACAGAUGGGAGCUUGCUCCCUGAUGUUAGCGGCGGACGGGUGAGUAACACGUGGGUAACCUGCCUGUAAGACUGGGAUAACUCCGGGAAACCGGGGCUAAUACCGGAUGGUUGUCUGAACCGCAUGGKUCAGACAUAAAAGGUGGCUUCGGCUACCACUUACAGAUGGACCCGCGGCGCAUUAGCUAGUUGGUGAGGUAACGGCUCACCAAGGCGACGAUGCGUAGCCGACCUGAGAGGGUGAUCGGCCACACUGGGACUGAGACACGGCCCAGACUCCUACGGGAGGCAGCAGUAGGGAAUCUUCCGCAAUGGACGAAAGUCUGACGGAGCAACGCCGCGUGAGUGAUGAAGGUUUUCGGAUCGUAAAGCUCUGUUGUUAGGGAAGAACAAGUGCCGUUCAAAUAGGGCGGCACCUUGACGGUACCUAACCAGAAAGCCACGGCUAACUACGUGCCAGCAGCCGCGGUAAUACGUAGGUGGCAAGCGUUGUCCGGAAUUAUUGGGCGUAAAGGGCUCGCAGGCGGUUUCUUAAGUCUGAUGUGAAAGCCCCCGGCUCAACCGGGGAGGGUCAUUGGAAACUGGGGAACUUGAGUGCAGAAGAGGAGAGUGGAAUUCCACGUGUAGCGGUGAAAUGCGUAGAGAUGUGGAGGAACACCAGUGGCGAAGGCGACUCUCUGGUCUGUAACUGACGCUGAGGAGCGAAAGCGUGGGGAGCGAACAGGAUUAGAUACCCUGGUAGUCCACGCCGUAAACGAUGAGUGCUAAGUGUUAGGGGGUUUCCGCCCCUUAGUGCUGCAGCUAACGCAUUAAGCACUCCGCCUGGGGAGUACGGUCGCA
This 852-nucleotide ribosomal RNA is filed under the name Bacillus sp. UASWS1185. Its description in RNAcentral is "bacterial SSU rRNA". It matches the Rfam family "Bacterial small subunit ribosomal RNA", at positions 56 to 890 of the family's 1533-position model. Lineage: Bacteria; Bacillati; Bacillota; Bacilli; Caryophanales; Bacillaceae. The record is from RNAcentral.